This 130-nucleotide ribosomal RNA is filed under the name Psilotum nudum. RNAcentral's name for it is "5.8S ribosomal RNA". It matches the Rfam family "5.8S ribosomal RNA". From Rfam's summary of the family: 5.8S ribosomal RNA (5.8S rRNA) is a component of the large subunit of the eukaryotic ribosome. It is transcribed by RNA polymerase I as part of the 45S precursor that also contains 18S and 28S rRNA. Functionally, it is thought that 5.8S rRNA may be involved in ribosome translocation. Lineage: Eukaryota; Viridiplantae; Streptophyta; Polypodiopsida; Psilotales; Psilotaceae. The record is from RNAcentral.
AUGACUCUCAGCAACAGAUAUCUUGGCUCUUGCAACGAUGAAGAACGCAACGAAAUGUGAUACAUAGUGUGAAUUGCAGAAUUCCAUGAAUCAUCGAGUCUUUGAAGGUUAUGCCUUCCUGAGCCUCCCC